GUUUGUAUAAUAAUAACAUACUGCAGGAGGAGAGAGAGGCAGUGUGUUGAUAUGCUGUUUGUAUAAUAACAACAUACUGCAGGAGAGAGGCAGUGUGAGUAAAGAGUUAAUGAGAUAAGCGUAUAGUAAUAUUGUGGAUACAUGUUGUCAGUUCAUCAGUGGAAGGAGGUUUAUCAGGAUGUGUUAAAAUGAACCAGGGUGGUGCGACGUUAAAGAGGUUUAUCAGGAUGUGUUAAAAUGAACCAGGGUGGUGCGACGUUAAAGAGGUUUAUCAGGAUGUGUUAAAAUGAACCAGGGUGGUGCGACGUUAAAGAGGUUUAUCAGGAUGUGUUAAAAUGAACCAGGGUGGUGCGACGUUAAAGAGGUUUAUCAGGAUGUGGAUGUGAAGAUGAGGAUGUUUAUCAGGAUGUGGCUGUGAAGAUGAGGAGGUUUAUCAGGAUGUGUUCAAAUGAACCAGGGUGGUGCGACGUUAAAGAGGUUUAUCAGUAUGUGGAUGUGAAGAUGAGGAUGUUUAUCAGGAUGUGGCUGUGAAGAUGAGGUUAUUCAGGAUGUGGCUGUGAAGUAGAGGAGGUUAAACAGGAUGUGGCUGUGAAGGUGAGGACGUUUAUCAGGAUGUGGCUGUGAAGAUGAGGAGGUUUAACAGGAUGUGGCUGUGAAGAUGAGGUCGCUUAACAGGAUGUGGCUGUGAAGGUGAGGACCUUUUAUCAGGAUGUGGCUGUGAAGAUGAGGACGUUUAUCAGGAUGUGGCUGUGAAGAUGAGGAGGUUUAUCAGGAUGUGGCUGUGAAGAUGAGGAGGUUUAUCAGGAUGUGGCUGUGAAGAUGAGGAUGUUUAAUAUUCACCUGAAGUUAGCCCUAACGUUCAUAACAACACCAAGGGAACACACACAAGCACAGGCACAUGCACGCACGCACGUACGCACGUACCAUAUUUACCAUCGUUUCAUUACAUUAUCCUAUUUCAGCUGCACCUCUCCAGUCCUUCUCUACAGAACCUCAAUCCAGCUGUUGGUCAUUUAGGAAACAGCAUUGUGUCUGUCUGGUGUAACUCCCUGUGUGUCUGUCUGGUGUAACUCCCUG
RNAcentral lists this long non-coding RNA (1077 nucleotides) under Salmo salar (Atlantic salmon). Its description in RNAcentral is "lncRNA (ENSSSAG00000104564.1)". The record is from RNAcentral. Lineage: Eukaryota; Metazoa; Chordata; Actinopteri; Salmoniformes; Salmonidae.